GCCGGGGUGGCGCAAUUGGCAGACGCAGCGGACUUAAAAUCCGCCGGAGUAAUCCUUGUGGGUUCGAGUCCCGCCCCCGGCACCA
Molecule: transfer RNA, 85 nt
Filed under: subsurface metagenome
Description: tRNA-Leu
Rfam family: tRNA
About the family: Transfer RNA (tRNA) molecules are approximately 80 nucleotides in length.
Source: RNAcentral